UACGGAGGAUGCGAGCGUUAUCCGGAUUUAUUGGGUUUAAAGGGUGCGUAGGCGGAAUAUCAAGUCAGCGGUAAAAAUUCGGGGCUCAACCCCGUCGUGCCGUUGAAACUGAUGUUCUUGAGUGGGCGAGAAGUAUGCGGAAUGCGUGGUGUAGCGGUGAAGUGCAUAGAUAUCACGCAGAACUCCGAUUGCGAAGGCAGCAUACCGGCGCCCAACUGACGCUGAAGCACGAAAGCGUGGGUAUCGAACAGG
RNAcentral lists this ribosomal RNA (252 nucleotides) under uncultured bacterium. Its description in RNAcentral is "partial 16S ribosomal RNA". It matches the Rfam family "Bacterial small subunit ribosomal RNA", at positions 524 to 776 of the family's 1533-position model. The record is from RNAcentral.